GAUGAACGCUGGCGGCGUGCUUAACACAUGCAAGUCGAACGGAAAGGCGAUGCUUUUGUGGGGUGCUCGAGUGGGGAGCGGGUGAGUAACACGUGAGUAACCUGCCCUUGAAUUUGGGAGAACAUCAGGAAACUGGGGCUAAUACAGGAUAGGAGCUCCUGCUGCAUGGUGGGGGUUGGAAAGAUUCGGCGGUUGGGGAUGGAAUCGCGGCUUAUCAGCUUGUUGGUGGGGUAGUGGCUUACCAAGGCUGUGACGGGUAGCCGGCCUGAGAGGGUGACCGGCCACAUUGGGACUGAGAUACGGCCCAGACUCCUACGGGAGGCAGCAGUGGGGAAUAUUGCACAAUGGGCGGAAGCCUGAUGCAGCAACGCCGCGUGCGGGAUGACGGCCUUCGGGUUGUAAACCGCUUUCGCCUGUGACGAAGCGUGAGUGACGGUAAUGGGUAAAGAAGCACCGGCUAACUACGUG
Molecule: ribosomal RNA, 468 nt
Filed under: uncultured bacterium
Lineage: Bacteria
Description: partial 16S ribosomal RNA
Rfam family: Bacterial small subunit ribosomal RNA
Source: RNAcentral